This 72-nucleotide transfer RNA is filed under the name Bos taurus (domestic cattle). It matches the Rfam family "tRNA". Rfam says of the family: Transfer RNA (tRNA) molecules are approximately 80 nucleotides in length. The record is from Rfam by way of RNAcentral. Lineage: Eukaryota; Metazoa; Chordata; Mammalia; Artiodactyla; Bovidae. RNAcentral also lists the same sequence under 3 other names.
UCCCUAGUGGCUCAGAGGUUAAAGCGUCUGCCUCCAAUGGAGGAGACCCAGGUUCGAUCCCUGGGUCAGGAA